This is a long non-coding RNA of Sciurus carolinensis (gray squirrel), 1822 nucleotides long. RefSeq lists it as uncharacterized. The transcript has 3 exons. Lineage: Eukaryota; Metazoa; Chordata; Mammalia; Rodentia; Sciuridae. The record is from RefSeq and is a predicted model, not a curated record.
CGAGUAGUUGAGGUAGGGAGUGGACAGGUAGGAGCCCGCCAGCCCCUCACUGGGUCCCAGGCGACGUUGGGGGUGGGGGCUGGGCCCCAACCAGGCUUUGAUCUCCACCACAGCCGAGCCGAGGCCCUCGACCGGGUUAUUUGAGGUCUCUGGAAGAGUCAGGGCUCCCCAGGAGUGCCGGGCGCGCCCCGAACUCACACACCAGGCACAAACACACAAACGCGGCGCUCUGUUCCCAUCUUUAAUUCCACUCCCCCACCUGCGGUCACCGAGGGGAAGGGGCAGGGCCGGGAGGGCGCGCCUAGGUGAGGACCAGGUGCCUGUCUGCAGGGACUCCGUAGCGCUCCUUGUGUUCCUCGAACAACUGCGUGAGCCGCUCCACGUAGAGCGCGUGCAGCGCGUCCACUUGCGCCCGGCUGGGCCGCGGGCUUCGCUGCACCGGAAUCGCUGCGCCCACUGGGGGAGGAACACGAUGAAGGGCCGGUCGCUAGGAUGCUCGGGCCGCCCCCAGCCAGCCGGCCGCAGGGAUCUGCCGGGACAGAGUUCAGGGCUGGGGUGGUUGCAAAAGGCUGGCCUGGAAGACGAGGCCGGACGUGCCAGACGCGUGGCGCGGAGCCGAGACACCAGGCCCUAGGCAGGGCGCGGCGGGGAGGGCGCGGGGAGCAGGCGUUGGGGCCCGGGAGCGCAGGGGCGGAGGCCGGGGCUCACCGACGGUGUGGAUGGGCGAGCGGAAGGGCAUCAGGAGGCCCAGGCGGCCGUGGAACAGCGGCAGGGCCACGCUCAGCAGUGACUGCAGCGCCUCCUGCGCCCUCCGCACGCAGGAGCCCGGGGGGUUUGGCAACUGCCGGAAGAGCUCAUUCUCCCCAAAGGAGAAGACAGGCACCAGCGCGGCCCUGGGGGAGCAGGGGCGCCGCUGACUCCUGGCUGCCGGGCGCUCCUCCCCCGUGGGCAGCCCCGGGGACCCCUCUGGCCACUCGGGGCUCCUCACCCGUGUUCCAGGGCCACCUUAACGAAUCCUUUCUGAUUCCGGAUCCGCAAGCUCAAUGCUCCGGGCUUUGCCUCCAACGCCUCCAGGGGCCCUCCCACGGCCAGGACGGCCACCUGGCCGCCCCCAGAACAGGACAACAGAUAGGAAACGCUGGCCUUGUCAGAGGAGACCAACCCUGGGGGGAGGGCAGAGGCUAGGGGACCUGAGGCCUGGGUUUUCAGAGGAAGGCCUGAGAAGGGGGAGCCCGGCCUAGGAGCCCCCUCAGGAGAGAGACUGGGCUCAGUCUGGCUUUGAACUUGCAAUCCUCCUGCCUCAGCCUCCGGAGCCACUAGGAUGAAUGUCACUUCUUUAGACCCAGUGUCCGCCCCAGGAGCCCUGCCCCACCUCGUGCCGGCCGCCUGACCACUGGCCAUAGCUCUCCAUCUCCUCCACCAGCUCGUCACACAUUUGCUCUGACAGCAGCGGGAACCAGUAGACAUCCGGGCACGGCUGCAGAGGAGGGCUGGGCUGGGUGACUCUCGCAGGGGAUGGGCAGUGAAGAGGCAAGGGGAUGAGAGGGCUGGGGGAAGGGCCACCCAAGUUGGGGGACAGGCCAGGCCAAGAACCAGGUCCAGGGCUACAGCAAGACAGGUCUGCACAGAGGGAGGUGCAGGGCACAGUGGCGAGAGGCCAGAGCCUUAGUGCUACCAUAGCUGUUUCCCACGGUGAAUCUCCCACUUUUUCUUUCUCGGUACUGGGGAUUAUUUAACCCAGGGGUACUUUACCACCGAGUUACAUCUCCCAUCCAUCCACCCAUCCAUCCCCAUCCAUCCCCAUCCAUCUAUCCAUCCAUCC